Molecule: ribosomal RNA, 2913 nt
Filed under: uncultured Cytophagales bacterium
Lineage: Bacteria; Pseudomonadati; Bacteroidota; Sphingobacteriia; Sphingobacteriales
Description: LSU rRNA
Rfam family: Bacterial large subunit ribosomal RNA
Source: RNAcentral
AGAGCAAGUCUAAAGUAAGGGCGUACGGGGGAUGCCUAGGCUCCUGGAGGCGAAGAAGGACGCGCAAAGCUGCGAAAAGCUGCGGGGAGUGGCCAAGACACAUUGAUCCGCGGGUAUCCGAAUGGGGCAACCCGGUGUAGCAAUACAUCAUCUGAGUAAUCAGAGGCAUACGUGGGGAACUGAAACAUCUAAGUACCCACAGGAAGAGAAAACAACAGACCAGCAAUGGUCAUAGUGAUUCCCUAAGUAGUGGCGAGCGAACGGGGAAGAGCCCAAACCUUUUGUGUUACGGCACAGGAGGGGUAGUAGGACCUGCAUUUAGUCUAGUCAAUCAACUGAAACGGUUUGGGAAAGCCGGCCAGAGAGGGUGAGAGCCCCGUACAGGGAAAGUUGACUAGGUGAGCGGGUAUCCUGAGUAGGGCGGGGUUGGAGAAGCCCCGUCUGAAACCGCCGGCACCAUCCGGCAAGGCUAAAUACAUCCAGGAGACCGAUAGUGAACCAGUACCGCGAGGGAAAGGUGAAAAGAACCCCAAGUCGGGGAGUGAAAAGGACCUGAAACCGUACGCCUGCAAGCGGUCGGAGGUGAUGAAAUAUUCACUGACGGCGUGCCUUUUGCAUAAUGAGCCUACGAGUUACGGUGACUGGCAAGGUUAAGCGAGUGAACUCGCGCAGCCGCAGCGAAAGCGAGUCUGAACAGGGCGCAUGGACUUUUAGUCCCAGUCAGUUGCUGUAGACGCGAAACCAAGUGAUCUACCCAUGAGCAGGUUGAAGUGGCGGUAACACGCCAUGGAGGACCGAACCAGUAAACGUUGAAAAGUUUUUGGAUGACUUGUGGGUAGGGGUGAAAGGCCAAUCAAACUUGGAGAUAGCUCGUACUCUCCGAAAUGCCUUUAGGGGCAGCCUCGCAGAGAGUCUACUAGAGGUAGAGCUACCAGCAGGACUAGGGGGUGUCACAACCUACCAAAUCCUAGUGAACUCCGAAUGCUAGUAGACUGCAGCGGGAGUGAGGGUGAGGGUGCUAAGGUCCUCAUCCGAGAGGGAAACAACCCAGACCACCGGCUAAGGUCCCAAAGUCCGUACUAAGUUGAACAAAGGGGGUCUGCCUGCGGCGACAGCCAGGAGGUUGGCUUGGAAGCAGCCAUUCCUUUAAAGAGUGCGUAACAGCUCACUGGUCGAGCGGGCGGGGCACCGAUAAUAAACGGGCAUCAAGUACGGCACCGAAGCUGUGGUAGAAGGACUUUCAAGUCCGUUCUAGGUAGGAGAGCAUUCCAGUAUCGGCGAAGGUGAUGCGUGAGCAUUGCUGGAGAGACUGGAAAAGCAAAUGUAGGCAUGAGUAACGAUAAUCAAGGUGAAAACCCUUGACACCGGAAGACUAAGGUUUCCUGAUCAACGUCAAUCGGAUCAGGGUUAGUCGGCCCCUAAGGAGCAAGGGAAACUGAAGCUCCGAUGGCGAGCGGGUUAAUAUUCCCGCACUGGUUUUACCAGUCACUCCAUGACGGAGCAAGCACGAGUGUGCGCACUGACGGAAUAGUGCGUUGAACCUGCCCUGGCAGGGAAAGUACCCCACGGCUUCGGCCACGGGGAUAACCACUCCGAGGAGCUUCCAAGAAAAGUGGAACUGACAAUGGUAAGGCCAGCCGUACCGCAAACCGACACAGGUAGUCGGGUAUAAACGUACCAAGGUGCUCGAGUGAGUCACGGCUAAGGAACUCGGCAAAUUAACCCUGUAACUUCGGGAGAAGGGGAGCCUCCUUAUGCAUGCAUAAGAGGUCGCAGCGAAUGGGCCCAGGCGACUGUUUACCAAAAACACAGGACUCUGCUAAAACGAAAGUUGACGUAUAGGGUCUGACACCUGCCCGGUGCUGGAAGGUUAAGGGGGGAUGUUAGCCGCAAGGCGAAGCAUUGAACCGAAGCCCCAGUAAACGGCGGCCGUAACUAUAACGGUCCUAAGGUAGCGAAAUUCCUUGUCGGGUAAGUUCCGACCUGCACGAAUGGUGUAACGAUCUGGGCGCUGUCUCGGCCGUGAGCUCGGUGAAAUUGUAGUAGCGGUGAAGAUGCCGCUUACCCGCAACGGGACGGAAAGACCCCGUGCACCUUUACUAUAGCUUCACAUUGGCUUUGGGUAAGGCAUGUGUAGGAUAGGCGGGAGGCAGUGAAGCGGUGUCGCCAGGCAUCGUGGAGCCAACCUUGAAAUACCGCCCUUGCCUUGCCUAGAGCCUAAUCUAGAAAUGGAAACAGUGUGUGGUGGGUAGUUUGACUGGGGUGGUCGCCUCCAAAAAAGUAUCGGAGGCUUUCAAAGGUCUGCUCGGCACGCUUGGUAACCGUGCUUUCAGAGUGCAAUCGCAGAAGCAGGCUUGACUGCAAGAGUGACAACUCGCGCAGGUAGGAAACUAGGAGAUAGUGAUCCGGUGGUUCCGCAUGGAAGGGCCAUCGCUCAAAGGAUAAAAGGUACGCCGGGGAUAACAGGCUGAUCUCCCCCAAGAGCUCACAUCGACGGGGAGGUUUGGCACCUCGAUGUCGGCUCGUCACAUCCUGGGGCUGGAGAAGGUCCCAAGGGUUCGGCUGUUCGCCGAUUAAAGUGGCACGCGAGCUGGGUUCAGAACGUCGUGAGACAGUUCGGUCCCUAUCUGUUGCGGGCGUGGGAUGUUUGCGGGGAGCUGACCUUAGUACGAGAGGACCGGGUCGGAGGGGCCGCUAGUGCAUCAGUUGUAUUGCCCAGUGCAUAGCUGAGUAGCCAUGCCCCGAUGAGAUAAGCGCUGAAAGCAUCUAAGCGCGAAACUCGCCCCAAGAUGAGACAUCCAGUUUAACAAAACGAAGGACCGUGAUAGAUCAUCACGUUGAUAGGCGGCCGGUAUACGUAGCGAAAUCUACUCAGCCUAGCCGUACUAAUCAUCCAACUAGACUUGCUUUUCU